GCCUGACACACACUGGCUUGACUUUCUGAGGGCAACUCAAUAAUUCAUGAAUAAUUAUGUUCUAUGUUGUCCUCUCUCUGUUUCCCGUUGCUUUCCUCUCUUCAUUUUCUGACUGAAAUCAACUUUAACUUCUUCUCUACUGGGCUGAGUCAUUACCAUGACAACAGAGUGAGACAGAGGAACCCUACAGCCAGGAGGAUGGGAUGAAAGGGUGGGGGGACUGGGGGUAGAGAGGAGAGAGAGACAGAGAGAGAGAGAGAGAGAGAGAGAGAGAGACAGACAGACAGACAGACAGACAGACAGACAGACAGACAGACAGACAGACAGACAGACAGACAGACAGACAGACAGACAGACAGACAGACAGACCCAUGCUAAUAUCUGCAGCUGGGCCCUGAUGAGUUUUGUUGUCAGUGCAGCUGGGUUGGGACAGAGAAAGCGGCCCGGAUUCCAGCACUCCCCCACGGGCAUAAAUCUUACCCAGCUGGAGACUGCAACCACUGCAACAAUGCCACCAGCUCAUUCUGUGCCAAGCUGGCUGGCCUUGUAUACGCAUACACGCAUACACACGCUCACAACUAAAUGACAUGCAUUGUUGUGUGUUGUGUUGUGGCUAGGGGGUGGGGACUGCAGUUGUCUGUUGUUGUAGUAAGACUUGUGGGAUGCAUAUAUUAAUCAUCUAUCAUUGGCUCAAAGACUGGGCGCUAAAUGAAAGACCAGUCACACAAACCGGCUAAUUAUUCCUUUCAGUCCUAUUGGCUUUGUCUACAUAACAGAGACAGACAAGUUCAUGUCAUGGUCAUACGCCCUGUGUUUGGUAGUAGGGGUGGGAAACUAACAUCUCUCUCUAGUCCUUCCUCCUUCAUUUAUGUAACGACCAAAUAAAAGGUGAGUACUUGUGAUUUUAAUGUACUUUUGUCAUCAAUAUAAUCCUUAGACUAUUCCUGGGGCGGCAGGUAGCCUAGUGGUUAGAGACAGGUAGCCUAUUGGUUAGAGACAGGUAGCCUAGUGGUUAGAGGCAGGUAGCCUAGUGGUUAGAGGCAGGUAGCCUAGUGGUUAGAGGCAGGUAGCCUAGUGGUUAGAGGCAGGUAGCCUAGUGGUUAGAGGCAGGUAGCCUAGUGGUUAGAGGCAGGUAGCCUAGUGGUUAGAGGCAGGUAGCCUAGUGGUUAGAGGCAGGUAGCCUAGUGGUUAGAGGCAGGUAGCCUAGUGGUUAGAGACAGGUAGCCUAGUGGUUAGAGACAGGUAGCCUAGUGGUUAGAGGCAGGUAGCCUAGUGGUUAGAGCUUUGGGCCAGUAACUGAAAGGUUGUGAGAUCAAAUCCCUAAACUGACAAGGUAAAAAUCUGUUGUUCUGCCCCUGAACCAGGCAGUUAACCCAUUGUUCCUAGGCUGUCAUUGUAAAUAAGAAUUUGUUCUUAACUAACUGACUGACUUGCCUGGUUAAAGAAAAAUCCAAAAUAAAAAUUCCAUGAGAAAAGAUGUCUUUAAACUGCAUUUUUAAAGUAAAAAAAAUGUAACAAUUUCUUCAUAUCAUUUAAACUGUGGCUGAAACUGAUGACAGUCUGGCCCUGACUGAAGGAACACUGACAACCAGACAGGCUCCUUGCAACAGUGUGACAAUACGACGCAUGGCCACCACACACACACACACACACACACACACACACACACAC
RNAcentral lists this long non-coding RNA (1671 nucleotides) under Salmo salar (Atlantic salmon). RNAcentral's name for it is "lncRNA (ENSSSAG00000099617.1)". Lineage: Eukaryota; Metazoa; Chordata; Actinopteri; Salmoniformes; Salmonidae. The record is from RNAcentral.